GCCUGGGUGGCUCAGUCGGUUGAGCGUCCGACUUCGGCUCAGGUCGUGAUCUCGCAGUAUGUGGGUUCGAGCCCCGCAUCAGGCU
Molecule: non-coding RNA, 85 nt
Organism: Felis catus (domestic cat)
Lineage: Eukaryota; Metazoa; Chordata; Mammalia; Carnivora; Felidae
Source: Rfam